CUAGUGACAGAGUGAGGGAGGGGGUGACUAGUGACAGAGUGAAGGAGGUGGUGACUGUCACUAGUCACCCCCUCCCUCUCUCUGUCACUAGUGACACCCUCCCUCACUCUGUCACUAGUCACCCCCUCCCUCACUGUCACUAGUCACCCCCUCCCUCUCUCUGUCACUAGU
Molecule: non-coding RNA, 171 nt
Organism: Pelobates cultripes (western spadefoot toad)
Lineage: Eukaryota; Metazoa; Chordata; Amphibia; Anura; Pelobatidae
Source: the annotation of a GenBank genome assembly